CUGGCCUUGACAUCCAGAGAACUUUCCAGAGACCUUUUGGUGCCUUCGGGAACUCUGAGACAGGUGCUGCAUGGCCGUCGUCAGCUCGUGUCGUGAGAUGUUGGGUUAAGUCCCGUAACGAGCGCAACCCCUAUCCCUGGUUGCUAGCAGGUAAUGCUGAGAACUCCAGGGAGACUGCCGGUGACAAACCGGAGGAAGGUGGGGAUGACGUCAGGUCAUCAUGGCCCUUACGGCCAGGGCUACACACGUGCUACAAUGGCGCGUACAGAGGGCUGCCAACUCGCGAGAGUGAGCCAAUCCCUUAAAACGCGUCGUAGUCCGGAUCGGAGUCUGCAACUCGACUCCGUGAAGUCGGAAUCGCUAGUAAUCGCGAAUCAGAAUGUCGCGGUGAAUACGUUCCCGGGUCUUGUA
RNAcentral lists this ribosomal RNA (411 nucleotides) under uncultured bacterium. Its description in RNAcentral is "bacterial SSU rRNA". It matches the Rfam family "Bacterial small subunit ribosomal RNA", at positions 975 to 1385 of the family's 1533-position model. The record is from RNAcentral.